AUAAAGUUUAAUUUUAACUUAAAAAAAUUAAUUAAAAUUUAUUUUACAUUUAAAUUUUUGUUUGAUUUUAUUUAUAUUUAUUUUUAAAAAAUUUAUGUAAUUUAUUUAUUCUUAGUAAUUAAUUUUAAUAUAAAAAAGAAAUUUUUUAUUAGUAAUUUUUUUUUGUAUUAGUAAAAAUUGUGCCAGCAACUGCGGUUAUACAAUUAAUACAAUUAUUUUUUUUUAUUUUAAGUUAAAUUGAUAAUAUUUAUAUAAAUAAAUAUAUUAUUUAUAAAUUAUAAAUUAAUUUAUUAGGUUAAAUUUUAAAUUAAUAAAUUUUUAUAUUCAAUAAAUUUUUAAUCUUAAAAAUUUUUUUUAUAAACUAGGAUUAGAUACCCUAUUAUUAAAAAUGUAAUCUAAUUAAAUAGAGUAGUAAUAGUUAUGUUCUUAAAACUUAAUAAAUUUGGCGGUAUUUUAAUCUUUUUAGAGGAACUUGUUUCAUAAUUGAUAAUCCUCAUUUUAUCUUACUUAAAUUUAUUAAAUUUGUAUAUCGUCGUCAUAAGAAUAUCUUAAAAAAGUUAAAAAUUUUCUAAAAUUUUAAUUAAUAAUAAUGUCAGAUCAAGGUGCAGUUUAUAUUUAAGAAGAAAUGAGUUACAAUAAAUUUAUUUAAACGAAUUUGAUUUUGUAAUGAUUAAUGAAGGUGGAUUUAUUAGUAAAAUAAAUAAUUAAAUUUAUUUGAUUAUAGUUCUAAAAUAUGUACAUAUCGCCCGUCGCUCUCGUUAUUAAAAUGAGAUAAGUCGUAACAUAGUAGAUGUACUGGAAGGUGUUUCUAGAAUAUC
This 818-nucleotide non-coding RNA is filed under the name Acnemia nitidicollis. Lineage: Eukaryota; Metazoa; Arthropoda; Insecta; Diptera; Mycetophilidae. The record is from RNAcentral.